This 68-nucleotide transfer RNA is filed under the name Melecta chinensis. RNAcentral describes it as "tRNA-Ala". The record is from RNAcentral. Lineage: Eukaryota; Metazoa; Arthropoda; Insecta; Hymenoptera; Apidae.
UGGAUAUUAGUUAAAUUUUAUAACAUUUUAUUUGCUUUAAAAAAUUAUACUUAAAUUUAUAUAUCUAU